This is a long non-coding RNA of Dioscorea cayenensis subsp. rotundata (Guinea yam), 383 nucleotides long. RefSeq lists it as uncharacterized. Lineage: Eukaryota; Viridiplantae; Streptophyta; Magnoliopsida; Dioscoreales; Dioscoreaceae. The transcript is spliced from 3 exons. The record is from RefSeq and is a predicted model, not a curated record.
AAUAAUAUGUUUGUGUGUGUGUGAGAGAGAGAGAGAGAGAGAGAGGACCAUCUCUUUCGCGUUCAUCUUGCAUCGCUCGCGAUCUCCAAUGGCCGAGAUUGAGUUAAAAACAGCACCGGCUGAUUUUCGCUUUCCUACAACUAAUCAAACAAGGCAUUGUUUUACUCAUAUAUCAGAGUUCCAUAAAUGUGUGAAUGCUAAAGGUGAUGAUUCUGGAGAAUGUGAAAAGUUUGCUAAAUACUACCGAUCUCUCUGCCCAGGCGAAUGGGUGGGUAUCAUGCUAUUUUCUUUAAACCUAUUUGUAGCUUAAAUGUAGCUUGUGGUUUUCUAGCCAAUCUUGUUCAUAUAUCCUCAGCCUAUAGUAUUGGAUCACAUUCCCAUGU